Molecule: long non-coding RNA, 516 nt
Organism: Perca flavescens (yellow perch)
Lineage: Eukaryota; Metazoa; Chordata; Actinopteri; Perciformes; Percidae
Exons: 3
Source: RefSeq, a predicted model, not a curated record
AUGACAUUCAGCUGUGCGUGCGUGCGUGCGUCUGUGUGUGUCCGCGGGAUAUUACAAGAGCUUGUGUUUAGCGGUGGCCGCCAGAGAGAAGUUGUUUCCCCGCAGAACCGCGUCGGACCAGGUGGCGUUCAGGGGCCCGGACACUGGAGGGAGAAAGUUGAACUCUUCUGUGUCAAUGGUCAUCUUGGAUAAAUCCUUGGCUGGGAUCCCGGUGACCCACCCCCAGAUGCCAGGCUGAUUCUCUAACUGUGCCGGUCGCUGCCUUAACGGGCCAACGCUAGUGUCACCGCCAAACCCACCCUGUGGUUUUGUGGGCCGUGGUCAAUGGUGAGCCGCCAGUGGCUUCCAGUCUGGUCAUGUGACUCCUAGCCCUUCCAGUCCUACCCUCUGGCAGUCUCCCUCUAUUUCUGUCAUCUUUUUUUUUUUCUCUACUAUGUCCUUGCUAUCUCUUUCUUCCUCACUGCUGUUUCUGACUGUGGCUACCGACUUUUACUAGAAACAAUCUAUUCCACAAAC